This 499-nucleotide ribosomal RNA is filed under the name Blastocystis hominis. RNAcentral describes it as "bacterial SSU rRNA". It matches the Rfam family "Eukaryotic small subunit ribosomal RNA", at positions 510 to 1016 of the family's 1831-position model. Lineage: Eukaryota; Bigyra; Opalinata; Blastocystidae. The record is from RNAcentral.
UGGAUUGAGACAACGUACAAACCUUAUCGAUAAACAAUUGGAGGGCAAGUCUGGUGCCAGCAGCCGCGGUAAUUCCAGCUCCAAUAGCGUAUAUUAACGUUGUUGCAGUUAAAAAGCUCGUAGUUGAAAUGAAGGGUAGUUGUGUAAUGAAUACAUUCGUGUAUUUUGUUAUUCUACUACCCUCCUUCUAAAUUCGAUAUAUGAGUAUUAAUUUACUUGUAUAUGGUUUUAGACGUUUACUGUGAGAAAAUUAGAGUGUUCAAAGCAGGCAUUUGCUUGAAUAUAUUAGCAUGGAAUAAUCAUGUAUGAUUUUCAUGAUGUAUUUGAUUGGUUUGGUUCAUGAGAAUAAGAUUAAAAGGGACAGUUGGGGGUAUUCAUAUUCAAUAGUCAGAGGUGAAAUUCUCGGAUUUAUGGAAGAUGAACAAGUGCGAAAGCAUUUACCAAGGAUGUUUUCAUUAAUCAAGAACGAAAGUUAGGGGAUCGAAGAGGAUUAGAUACC